Suricata suricatta (meerkat) is the source of this 540-nucleotide long non-coding RNA. RefSeq lists it as uncharacterized. The record is from RefSeq and is a predicted model, not a curated record. The transcript has 4 exons. NCBI's taxonomy places the organism in Eukaryota, Metazoa, Chordata, Mammalia, Carnivora, Herpestidae.
AUCCACAUAUCUUACCCAACACUUGGAGAAAGCACCAGACCUGCAGUCAGAGAAAAACCUGACUUCAAAUCUGGCCUGCCACUAACAACAAAAACACUGCUGGAGCCUUCCGCUGUCGGGGUAGCCUGUUCACCUCAGCCAAAGAGCCGAGCCUCAGGACUGGCACAGUAACCAAUCACAACAAAAUUGUGAGGUGUGGCCACAGAAGGGAGUAGCUUAGAUGAAAGACAAUAGAGGAGCCAGUGACGUGCUUAAAGCCAAGGCCCAUGAACGUGCAGAGAAGACGGGGAAAGAAAUACAUGGCUUCUUCCUCUCUCCUCACCUCCCAAAGGGUCCUGCCUAUGUCUACACUGGCCUCAUCUCAGGACGAGCAAGCCUACGAUCAGCAAACAUAAUUAAUGCACCCAGGAUGAGUAUCAUGUACGGUUUAUAUUUUGCAGUGACUUACCUUGCAUGGUUCAAAAUGGUGGCCUCUCUCCAUGUAGCUGCUUAAAAGAACACUUAGAUAAGCAAACACCACCAACAAGCAAAACAAGUACU